CAGUGAGACUGUGGGGGAUAAGCUUCAUAGUCGAGAGGGAAACAGCCCAGAUCGCCGGUUAAGGCCCCUAAGGGUGUACUAAGUGGAAAAGGAUGUGUAAUCGCGAAGACAGCCAGGAGGUUGGCUUAGAAGCAGCCACCCUUGAAAGAGUGCGUAAUAGCUCACUGGUCGAGUGGUUGCGCGCCGACAAUUCAGUGGGGCUCAAGUACACCGCCGAAGCCGCGGCAUAUUUUUUAUAUGGGUAGGGGAGCGUCGUGCAUGGGGUGAAGCGUUACCGGAAGGGGGCGUGGACUGUGUGCGAGUGAGAAUGCAGGCAUGAGUAACGAAUGAUGCGUGAGAAUCGUAUCCGCCGGAUGACUAAGGGUUCCUGGGUCAAGUUCGUCUUCCCAGGGUGAGUCGGGUCCUAAGGCGAGGCCGACAGGCGUAGUCGAUGGUCAACGGGUUGAUAUUCCCGUACCCGUGCAUACGCGCCCAAGUGCGAAGCGGUGAUACUAACCACCCUGACCACCCGCCAUGCAUUCCUUUGGUUUGCGGGUGGGUGUGAUGCGUGGGGCCUGAUCCGUUGUAGUUCAGUGAUGGGGUGACGCAGUCAGGUAGCUACGCCACUUAA
Molecule: ribosomal RNA, 610 nt
Filed under: Corynebacterium sp. CCUG 71335
Lineage: Bacteria; Bacillati; Actinomycetota; Actinomycetes; Mycobacteriales; Corynebacteriaceae
Description: partial 23S ribosomal RNA
Rfam family: Bacterial large subunit ribosomal RNA
Source: RNAcentral